GGAACCCUACGGGACGCAGCAGUAGGGAAUCUUCCACAAUGGGCGAAAGCCUGAUGGAGCAACGCCGCGUGGGUGAAGAAGGUCUUCGGAUCGUAAAACCCUGUUGUUAGAGAAGAAAGUGCGUGAGAGUAACUGUUCACGUUUCGACGGUAUCUAACCAGAAAGCCACGCCUAACUACGUGCCAGCAGCCGCGGUAAUACGUAGGUGGCAAUCGUUAUCCGGAUUUAUUGGGCGUAAAGGGAACGCAGGCGG
Molecule: ribosomal RNA, 253 nt
Filed under: uncultured bacterium
Lineage: Bacteria
Description: partial 16S ribosomal RNA
Rfam family: Bacterial small subunit ribosomal RNA
Source: RNAcentral